RNAcentral lists this ribosomal RNA (253 nucleotides) under uncultured bacterium. RNAcentral describes it as "partial 16S ribosomal RNA". It matches the Rfam family "Bacterial small subunit ribosomal RNA", at positions 524 to 776 of the family's 1533-position model. The record is from RNAcentral.
UACAGAGGGUGCAAGCGUUGUUCGGAAUUAUUGGGCGUAAAGCGUAUGUAGGUGGUUCACUAAGUCUGGUGUGAAAGCCCGGGGCUCAACCCCGGAAGUGCACUGGAUACUGGUGAGCUAGAGGACGGGAGAGGAUGGUGGAAUUCCUGGUGUAGGGGUGAAAUCCGUAGAUAUCAGGAGGAAUACCGGUGGCGAAGGCGGCCAUCUGGCCCGUUUCUGACACUCAGAUACGAAAGCGUGGGGAGCAAACAGG